GAUGAACGCUGGCGGCGUGCCUAAUACAUGCAAGUCGAGCGAACGGACGAGAAGCUUGCUUCUCUGAUGUUAGCGGCGGACGGGUGAGUAACACGUGGAUAACCUACCUAUAAGACUGGGAUAACUUCGGGAAACCGGAGCUAAUACCGGAUAAUAUUUUGAACCGCAUGGUUCAAAAGUGAAAGACGGUCUUGCUGUCACUUAUAGAUGGAUCCGCGCUGCAUUAGCUAGUUGGUAAGGUAACGGCUUACCAAGGCAACGAUGCAUAGCCGACCUGAGAGGGUGAUCGGCCACACUGGAACUGAGACACGGUCCAGACUCCUACGGGAGGCAGCAGUAGGGAAUCUUCCGCAAUGGGCGAAAGCCUGACGGAGCAACGCCGCGUGAGUGAUGAAGGUCUUCGGAUCGUAAAACUCUGUUAUUAGGGAAGAACAUAUGUGUAAGUAACUGUGCACAUCUUGACGGUACCUAAUCAGAAAGCCACGGCUAACUACGUGCCAGCAGCCGCGGUAAUACGUAGGUGGCAAGCGUUAUCCGGAAUUAUUGGGCGUAAAGCGCGCGUAGGCGGUUUUUUAAGUCUGAUGUGAAAGCCCACGGCUCAACCGUGGAGGGUCAUUGGAAACUGGAAAACUUGAGUGCAGAAGAGGAAAGUGGAAUUCCAUGUGUAGCGGUGAAAUGCGCAGAGAUAUGGAGGAACACCAGUGGCGAAGGCGACUUUCUGGUCUGUAACUGACGCUGAUGUGCGAAAGCGUGGGGAUCAAACAGGAUUAGAUACCCUGGUAGUCCACGCCGUAAACGAUGAGUGCUAAGUGUUAGGGGGUUUCCGCCCCUUAGUGCUGCAGCUAACGCAUUAAGCACUCCGCCUGGGGAGUACGACCGCAAGGUUGAAACUCAAAGGAAUUGACGGGGACCCGCACAAGCGGUGGAGCAUGUGGUUUAAUUCGAAGCAACGCGAAGAACCUUACCAAAUCUUGACAUCCUUUGACAACUCUAGAGAUAGAGCUUUCCCCUUCGGGGGACAAAGUGACAGGUGGUGCAUGGUUGUCGUCAGCUCGUGUCGUGAGAUGUUGGGUUAAGUCCCGCAACGAGCGCAACCCUUAAGCUUAGUUGCCAUCAUUAAGUUGGGCACUCUAAGUUGACUGCCGGUGACAAACCGGAGGAAGGUGGGGAUGACGUCAAAUCAUCAUGCCCCUUAUGAUUUGGGCUACACACGUGCUACAAUGGACAAUACAAAGGGCAGCGAAACCGCGAGGUCAAGCAAAUCCCAUAAAGUUGUUCUCAGUUCGGAUUGUAGUCUGCAACUCGACUACAUGAAGCUGGAAUCGCUAGUAAUCGUAGAUCAGCAUGCUACGGUGAAUACGUUCCCGGG
Molecule: ribosomal RNA, 1369 nt
Filed under: uncultured bacterium
Lineage: Bacteria
Description: 16S ribosomal RNA
Rfam family: Bacterial small subunit ribosomal RNA
Source: RNAcentral